UAAAAAUAAAGUGUAUUAAUAAUUCAAAACAAGAUUCUGCACAUGUAUCGAUGCCCGCGGCACGUUGGAAUCGGGGAUCGCAGAUAACUCCGCUUCAAUUUUCUUCAUGUGAGUUAUUUUCUCUAUAUGGUGUGUAGCGGUGGUAGUUAGUUUACGAACAGACUUUAUUUUUUUCUUCUUCU
Molecule: long non-coding RNA, 182 nt
Organism: Teleopsis dalmanni
Lineage: Eukaryota; Metazoa; Arthropoda; Insecta; Diptera; Diopsidae
Exons: 3
Source: RefSeq, a predicted model, not a curated record